RNAcentral lists this ribosomal RNA (377 nucleotides) under uncultured eukaryote. RNAcentral's name for it is "SSU rRNA". It matches the Rfam family "Eukaryotic small subunit ribosomal RNA", at positions 587 to 973 of the family's 1831-position model. The record is from RNAcentral.
AGCUCUGUAAGCGUAUACCAAAGUUGUUGCAGUUAAAACGCUCGUAGUCGUAUAUUGGCGGGCAUGCCGGGGCGUCCUCGCGGACGUGCUCGGUGUGGCCGCCUUUGUGGAGGGGGGCUGCGUGGUGCUUCACUGCAUUGCGUGGUCGCUGCCACCGUUUACUGUGAAAAAAUUAGAGUGUUCAAAGCGGGCGAUUGCCAUGAAUACAUUAGCAUGGAAUAAUAGAAUAGGACUUGGUCUUAUUUUGUUGGUUUGUUGAGAUCAGGUAAUGAUUAAGAGGGACGGUUGGGGGCAUUUGUAUUCCGACGUCAGAGGUGAAAUUCUUGGAUUGCCGGAAGACAAACAGCUGCGAAAGCGUCUGCCAAGGACGUUUUCAU